RNAcentral lists this ribosomal RNA (253 nucleotides) under uncultured bacterium. Its description in RNAcentral is "partial 16S ribosomal RNA". It matches the Rfam family "Bacterial small subunit ribosomal RNA", at positions 524 to 776 of the family's 1533-position model. The record is from RNAcentral.
UACGGAGGGUGCGAGCGUUGUCCGGAAUCAUUGGGCGUAAAGGGCGCGUAGGUGGCCUGCUAAGCGUGCGGUGAAAGUCGGGGGCUCAACCCCCGAUCGGCCGUGCGAACUGGGAGGCUUGAGCACUGUAGAGGCAGGCGGAAUUCCGGGUGUAGCGGUGGAAUGCGUAGAGAUCCGGAGGAAGACCGGUGGCGAAGGCGGUCUGCUGGGCAGUUUCUGACACUGAUGCGCGACAGCGUGGGGAGCAAACAGG